AAGGAAUAUUGGACAAUGGGGGCAACCCUGAUCCAGCCAUCCCGCGUGCAGGAAGAAGGCCCUACGGGUUGUAAACUGCUUUUAUGAGGGAAGAAAUGACUUGAUUUAUCGAGUUUUGACGGUACCUCAGGAAUAAGCACCGGCUAACUCCGUGCCAGCAGCCGCGGUAAUACGGAGGGUGCGAGCGUUAUCCGGAAUUACUGGGUUUAAAGGGUGCGUAGGCGGCCUAAUAAGUCAGGAGUGAAAGUUAUCCGCUUAACGGGGAAAUUGCUUUUGAUACUGUUAGGCUAGAAUAAGGAUGAGGUAGGCGGAAUGUGGCAAGUAGCGGUGAAAUGCAUAGAUAUGCCAUAGAACACCAAUUGCGAAGGCAGCUUACUGGACCUUAAUUGACGCUGAGGCACGAAAGCGUGGGGAGCGAAC
Molecule: ribosomal RNA, 420 nt
Filed under: uncultured bacterium
Lineage: Bacteria
Description: bacterial SSU rRNA
Rfam family: Bacterial small subunit ribosomal RNA
Source: RNAcentral